Molecule: ribosomal RNA, 252 nt
Filed under: uncultured Lactobacillus sp.
Lineage: Bacteria; Bacillati; Bacillota; Bacilli; Lactobacillales; Lactobacillaceae
Description: partial 16S ribosomal RNA
Rfam family: Bacterial small subunit ribosomal RNA
Source: RNAcentral
UAACACGUGGGCAACCUGCCCUGGAGCGGGGGAUAACAUCUGGAAACAGGUGCUAAUACCGCAUAACAACGAAAACCACAUGGUUUUCGUUUCAAAGAUGGUUUCGGCUAUCACUUCAGGAUGGGCCCGCGGUGCAUUAGCUAGUUGGUAAGGUAACGGCUUACCAAGGCAAUGAUGCAUAGCCGAGUUGAGAGACUGAUCGGCCACAAUGGAACUGAGACACGGUCCAUACUCCUACGGGAGGCAGCAGCU